ACAAUAUUCGGACCGUCGGUCCACCGAGCAAUAUCACCCGCUCGGUGGAAGAUCUUCCCUCCGUCGU
This 67-nucleotide microRNA precursor is filed under the name Bombyx mori (domestic silkworm). Its description in RNAcentral is "mir-2774 microRNA precursor family". It matches the Rfam family "mir-2774 microRNA precursor family". Lineage: Eukaryota; Metazoa; Arthropoda; Insecta; Lepidoptera; Bombycidae. The record is from Rfam by way of RNAcentral.